CCUACGGGAGGCUGCAGUCGAGAAUCAUUCACAAUGGGGGAAACCCUGACGCAGCAACGCCGCGUGAGUGAAGACGUAUCUCGGUAUGUAAAGCUCUAUCAGCGGGGAAGAAGGAAGACGGUACCCGACUAAGAAGCCCCGGCUAACUACGUGCCAGCAGCCGCGGUAAUACGUAGGGGGCGAGCGUUAUCCGGUUUUACUGGGUGUAAAGGGAGCGUAGACGGCGUCGCAAGUCUGAAGUGAAAGCCCGUGGCUCAACCGCGGAACCGCUUUGGAAACUGCGUGGCUGGAGUGCUGGAGAGGUAAGCGGAAUUCCUGGUGUAGCGGGGAAAUGCGUAGAUAUCAGGAGGAACACCGGUGGCGAAGGCGGCUUACUGGACAGUGACUGACGUUGAGGCUCGAAAGCGUGGGGAGCGAACAGGAUUAGAUACCCUAGUAGUC
Molecule: ribosomal RNA, 441 nt
Filed under: uncultured bacterium
Lineage: Bacteria
Description: partial 16S ribosomal RNA
Rfam family: Bacterial small subunit ribosomal RNA
Source: RNAcentral